RNAcentral lists this ribosomal RNA (253 nucleotides) under uncultured bacterium. Its description in RNAcentral is "partial 16S ribosomal RNA". It matches the Rfam family "Bacterial small subunit ribosomal RNA", at positions 524 to 776 of the family's 1533-position model. The record is from RNAcentral.
UACGUAGGGUCCGAGCGUUGUCCGGAAUUACUGGGCGUAAAGAGCUCGUAGGUGGUUUGUCGCGUUGUUCGUGAAAACUCACAGCUUAACUGUGAGCUUGCGGUCGAUACGGGCAGGCUAGAGUUCGGUAGGGGAGACUGGAAUUCCUGGUGUAGCGGUGAAAUGCGCAGAUAUCAGGAGGAACACCGGUGGCGAAGGCGCUGCUCUGGGCCGGUACUGACGCUGAGGAGCGAAAGCGUGGGUAGCAAACAGG